RNAcentral lists this long non-coding RNA (408 nucleotides) under Phoenix dactylifera (date palm). RNAcentral describes it as "long non-coding RNA (PDAC_LNC009770)". The record is from RNAcentral. Lineage: Eukaryota; Viridiplantae; Streptophyta; Magnoliopsida; Arecales; Arecaceae.
AUGUAUCAUGUAACUGUUCUAUUGAAAAAUCAUAUUCAAGUUUAGAAUCUACCUCAUCCUCAUUGGCCAUGUAGCAGAUUUGGGCCGUCUCUUGUUGAUCUUCCUCUUCCGAACUUGACUCAUCACUUUCACUCCAUUCAGCCAUGAGGUUCCUCUUUUUAAGUUUUCUUGUCAUCCAUUUCAAUUCCGGGCAAUCUAUCUUGAAGUGCCCGGGCUUGUUACACUCAUAGCAUAUUGACACUUCGUUUUCCUUUUCUUUUUUCUUUUUCCCUUUUUCCGGCUUGAUCUACCUCUUACGAAAGGUUUUCUUUUAUGGAAUUUCUUUUUACCUUUUAUGAAUUUUCUGAAUUUUCUUGCAAGCAUUGCCAUUCCUUCUUCAUCAUAUUCCUCCUCAUCAUUGGACUCCUC